GCUCCACUGAACACAGCGCGGCUUCGGCUUUUCUGUCUGCUGUUCCCAGGCGUUAUGCUAAGCUAAGCCAAUGGCCCUCAGACAUCUUAUCUAACUAUUGGCAAGAAGGGGGUAAACCGGGUCUUCACUACGGCGUCUGACAAACACUGGAUUUAUUUUUUCCCACAGCCACGGAGACUUCAAAGAGCUGAGUGGCAUCAGACUGGAAUGAUCCGGCUGGCCUCUUCCACAAAGCCGCCUUCCUCCUCAUUGAGGCCAUUUUCAACAUUCACCCACCCACACAAAGUGUUAUCAUGCCUGCCUGAC
This is a long non-coding RNA of Gasterosteus aculeatus aculeatus (three-spined stickleback), 306 nucleotides long. The record is from Ensembl. NCBI's taxonomy places the organism in Eukaryota, Metazoa, Chordata, Actinopteri, Perciformes, Gasterosteidae.